AUCCCAGCUCCAAUAGCGUAUAUUUAAGUUGUUGCAGUUAAAAAGCUCGUAGUUGGAUCUUGGGUCGUAAGGGUCGGUCCGCCUACUCGGUGUGCACCUGCCCUUCCGUCCCUUUUGUCGGCGGCGUGCUCCUGGCCUUAAUUGGCUGGGUCGCGGUUCCGGCGCUGUUACUUUGAAAAAAUUAGAGUGCUCAAAGCAAGCUUAUGCUCUGAAUACAUUAGCAUGGAAUAACGUGAUAGGAGUCUGGUCCUAUUGUGUUGGCCUUCGGGACCGGAGUAAUGAUUAAUAGGGACUGUCGGGGGCAUUCGUAUUUCAUUGUCAGAGGUGAAAUUCUUGGAUUUAUGAAAGACGGACCACUGCUAGAGCAUUUGCCAAGGAUGUUUUCAUUA
This 389-nucleotide ribosomal RNA is filed under the name Embryophyta sp. RNAcentral describes it as "partial small subunit ribosomal RNA". It matches the Rfam family "Eukaryotic small subunit ribosomal RNA", at positions 582 to 975 of the family's 1831-position model. The record is from RNAcentral. Lineage: Eukaryota; Viridiplantae; Streptophyta.